This 45-nucleotide non-coding RNA is filed under the name Schistosoma curassoni. The record is from RNAcentral. Lineage: Eukaryota; Metazoa; Platyhelminthes; Trematoda; Strigeidida; Schistosomatidae.
AUACAGCUGGCGAGUCCCAAAUAAAACGAAACGCGCGUCCUGGAU